UACUCAAGUUAAUAAAAAAAAAUAUGUAGUUUGCCUCUAUGUAUAUGUUACUGUAAAACUGUGUGUGGCAUUCCCUAAAAGAAGAAUCAGAGAGAGCCUCUGUAUGUGUAGAUAUGGAGAAGUAUAGGAUAUAAUGAUAAAUUUUGAUAGAGAUGAAUAUGGGAUUCAUCUAAUAAAUGAAUGAAUGAAAAUAAGAGCAUUGAUAUAAAUUUUAGGAAAGGCAGUUGAAAGAAAACAUAAGAAUAAGAGUUUUUGAAAUAACAUUAGAAAUAUUUAACCUUUAAAUUCAAAUUUUUUUACUAGAAAUAUGAACGUAUGCCUCUGUGUAUAUUUGUAUGACUAGAGUCGCAGAGCUGAACAAUUUCCAUUAUCAUAGAUAGAAUCACAUGUUUAAUCAUCCAAAAAUUCUAAAUUCUGCAAAUUGAAAAGAAAUCACUCAUCUUGGGUGGGAUAUCAAUUUAGGAAUCUAGAAAUUUCCACUAAGAAAAUCUUGGUCAAACCUGAAGAGUUUGAAUAACACAAUAAUUAGCAUAGCAUACUAAUUUUCUGAAUAUAGGCAUGUUUGAAUUAGACUAAUAUUUUAUACAGUAAUGGAAAUGUAAUAAAGUAUCAAGGACUUUUACUUUAAACCUUUGUUUAAAUCCAAAGACUUUAAAUCCUUGUUCAUUUAAGGAGAUAAAAUAACUUCGCAGCAGAAAAUAUUGGCUGACCCUAUCUUAACCAGUGACCAAAGUGAAAUUUUCAAAGGAAUUGGAUGACCUGAAAUCAUGUGCCUUAUAUGCCAUACCUCUCACUUUGACUUUGACUCAAAAUUAUUUCAAUUAAUGUCUAAUAGACAAUAUGAAUUCAUGCUAUGGCUGUGUGGUAGAACUUCAUCUUCCACCCAGUAUAUUCUUUACAGUGUCUCUCAUUUUGCAAAGCUUUGUGUCCAACGUGAGAGACAUAUCAUGAGGAAAUGGUAUGUAAUCUUCAAAAACAAAAAAAUCUUGUAUCAAGGAAAGCAUGCAGAGUAUUAAAGAUAAAUAAAGACUGAGUUAUUUUUGUCUCAUAUGCUUUUGUUUAGGCAUGUUUAGGAAUGUUUAGGCAUGUUUCUCUUUUGCCUGUACAUUAUUUUGUUUAUUCUACUGUUUUUUUUUUGCUUUGAGUGUGUAUGUUCCAGGGUGUUUGUUUGUAUGUACGUAUGUAUGUAUAUAUGUAUGUAUGUAUGUAUGUAUGUAUGUGUAUGAUUAUUGUUACAUUGUUCAUUCUUAUGUUUGUAUGUUUGUUUACUUUUCAAAGAGAAAGUGUGAGAAAAGUAGUUUGAUGAGUGAGGAGGUAAGAGGAACCUGGAAAGAUACUUUUGAGGUAAAUCCAUUAUCAGAAUAUAUUGUACUACAGAGCAAUAGUGAAAAAACUGCAUGGAGUUGGUACACAGUCAAACAAAUUGAUCAAUGAAAUAGAAUUGAAGACCCAGAAAUAAAACCACCAAUGUAUGCACACUUGAUCUUCAACAAAGAAUCCAAAAAUAUACAAUGACAAAAAGAAAGCAUUUUCAAUAAAUUGUAAUGUUCUCAUUGUCUUUUACAUAUUGAAAAAUGAAAAUAGACCAAUAUUUGUCACCAUACACAAAGCUUAAAGUCCAGGAGGAUCAAGCAAGAACCUCAACAUAAAUCCAGGUAGACUGAAUGUAAUAGAAGAGAAAGUCGGAAAGAGCCUUGAACUUAUUGGCACAGGGGGAAAUUUCCUAAACAAACUCCAAUGACUUACACUCUAAGAUCAAUAAUUGAUAAAUGGUACCUCAUGAAACUUGAAAUCUUCUCUAAGGCAAAAGAGAAUGUCAAUAAGACAAGAUGGAAACCUACAGAUUGGGGAAAAAUUCUUCAUUAACCCCACAUUCAAUAAAGGGCUAAUAUUCAAAAUAUGUAAAGAACUCAAGAAGCUAAGCACAAGAAAUAUCCCAAAACAAACAAACAAACAAACAAACAAAAAAACAAAAAAAAGCAAAGAACUCAAUCAAAAUGUGGUAUAGAACUAAACAGAAAAUUCACAACAGAAGAAUCUGGAAUGGCUGAGAAGCACCCAAAGAAAUGUUCAAAGUCCUUAGUGAACACAGAAAUGCAAAGUAAAAUGAUCCUGAGAUUCCAGCUUGCACCAAUCACAAUGGUUAAGAUCACAGCCUCAAGUGACAGCACGUGUUGGCAAGGAUGUAGGGAAAGAGGAACAUUCCUCCAUUGCUGGAUUGCUGGUGGGAUUACAAACUGGUACAGACUCUCUUGAAAUCAAUUUGGAGGUUUCUCAGAAAAUUGGAAAUCGAUCUACCUGAAGAUCCAGCAAUACUAUUCUUGAGAAUAUACCCAAAGGAUGGCCCACCAGGCCACAAAGGCAUGUAUUCCAAUAUUUUCCUAGUAACCUUGUGUGUGAAAGCCAGAAAUUGGAAACAACCCAGAUGUCCCAAAAAACAGAAGAAUGGAUACAGAAAAUGUGGUUCAUUUACAAAAUGGAAUACUACUCAGUUUUAAGAGCAAGGAUAUCCUGAGCAUUGAAGGCAAAUGGAUGAAACUAGAAAAUAUCAUCUUGACUGGGGUAACUCAGACCCCAAAGGACAUGCAUGGUAUGUACUCACUAAUAAUUAUAUAUUAGCCAAAAACAGAACAAAACAAAACAAAACAGAAUACUCAAGAUGCAGCCCACAUAACUCAAAGUUGAAGAAGCUGAAGGGUCCAAGUGAGAAUGCCUGAAUCCCACUUGGGAGGGACCCGAAAGCAAUCUCAAAGGGGAAGGAAGGGUGGGCGCUGCGUGGGUAAAGUGACAGCGUUUCAGAAGAGAAGAACGUAAUCUGGUACUGGGUGGGUUAAAAGAACUGAAGCUCUGUGGGCAAGCAGAAAAAAUGGAAACAGGAAACCUCUGGAGUUAGGUGGUUGGUCGGACCCUUCAGAAAGAACGAAACACCUGGAAGAUGAGAGAAUCUCAGGACUCAAACGUGAGGAAGGGGCUAGAUGAAAUUUCUACAGUGGGGAAAGGGAACUUUUAGAGCACAUCUCCAGCGGAAAGACAGGGCAUCAAGUGAGGGAUGUGGUUGCUAUACUACAGUCAAAGUUCUGACCCCUAAUUGUUUUCUCUGAAAGAACUGCAGAGAUGGAAAUCGAGAAGAACCCAAGGAAAAGAAGGUCCAGCAACAGGCCCAACACAGUAUCCAGCUCAUAAGGAGGCCUAAAAGUCUGUCUCGACCACUGAGGAAAUGGAGUGCUCACAAAAAUGACCUAACAUGACCACUCUCCAAAAGAUCCCUGAACGAGCAGCUGAAAGAGUCUGAUACAGAUAUUAGCACCCAACAAAUGGAUAGAAGGUGCUGACCACUGUGGUUGAAUUAGGAAAAAGCUGAAAGGUGAUGGCCAACCUGUAAGAGGUCUAGCAGCCUCAAUAAACUUGGGCCCCUAAGAUCUCUGACACUGAUCCACCAACCAGGUAGCAUACACCCACUGAUAUGGGGCCCCCAACACAUAUACAGCAGAGUACUCCUUGGUCUGUGGUCAAUCAGAGAAUCCUAAUCCUCAAGGUCCCAAUGAGUUUAGAGGUCUGGUAGGCGGGGGACUUUGGAGUGAUGAGUAACAGCCAGAGGGUAGACUGGGAUGGGAAUAAAAUUUGGGAUUUAGGAAAAUAAAUAAAUAAAAUUUAAAAAUAUGUAAUAAAUAUUAAGUAAAUAAUGAAUAAGUAAAUAAAUAAAAAUAAUAAAUAUAAAUAAAGAAAAGAGAAGAAGGGUAAACUGUGGAUUAUGUAAACAGUGGAGGAGUAGGUUCACCUCAAAAACUCAACUUGUCCCAGCAUCUGCAACUCUCCCAUAACAUAAUAGAGAUACAAUUCUUUAUCUACUUAAUUAAAUAUCCAGUCUGGAGACUUAGAGUAAGUAGUAUUGUGUUUUGUAUAACUUCAGGUUCAGGCUCAGUGUGUGCUCUCCUUGAGACUCUCCCAUUUAGGACAGAGUCAUCUACCAUAGCACAGACUCAAAAGUGCAAUGAAGAUCACAAGCUAUUUUCCGUGUUGACUAUUAUAUUAUUUGCUCUACCCUUGCAAUUUUUGUAUGAAAUUGAACUUCAGAAAAAAAAAAACUAAGGAGAAAUUUUUCAUUAUUUCAUUGGAAAAUGAUCAGAGGUUCCCUAAAUUGUAUCUCUCCUGUUUUUCCAUAUUCUUGUGUUUUAGACCACUGCCUUGCCAUCACCAUUCUAGAAUGAUAACCUUCCCUCAGCAGUUGUUCUGGCUCCCUAUCCAGUCAGAAGGAAUCAAAUAUACUAUACUGCCCAGUCCUGGAUUUAUGUUUAAUUCACCCGCAGAUUUUUGACAAAAUUUUGCUACUCUCUAUAGUCAUUGCCUCAUACCAAUUCUCACUUAGUUUUUAGCUUACCUAUUUACCCAUACAACAUCAACUGUUCUGCAGUAAUACUGGCCCUGACAGUCCUGGUCAUUACCUAAACAUCUAUCACAAAACGAUUCAAUAACUUACCCAAUUCUGUGAGCUUUACUGACAUAACAUGUAAUAUAUAUUUGAUUUCUGCUUUUACUCCUAAAGGCAGAAAAUAUAUCUCAAUGAUAGAUUGAACAUGUAAUAAUGCAUUUUAUGAACAAUGAAAACAAUUUAAUCAAUAUUGUAUGAACCAAUCUCCAUUGGGUAUAUUAUGACAUUUAAGAAAAUCCCUGAAACCAAGGUUUAAAAUUACAUUCUGCCUGUGAGGAAUAGAAAAUCCAAUCUUUAAUGCAGUCACUUGCAAUCACUUGGGAGUACUCGAAGACACAAAGAAUGUUUGUUCUUCAUUGUAUUUUGCUUAUCAAAACUCAUAAGUAAAUAUAUCCAUCUCAUAUCUGUCACUCCCAGUUAUCUCUCUGGCUCUCUGUUUCUCCUAUUUGUAGGAGAAGAUUUAAGCUAUUAACUACUACAUAAGGUCCAUUCCUGACUGUCUGCUAACAUAAUUCCCACCAUGCUAGUCCUGGACUAAUCAUCUGGAAGUAAGAACUACCCAGUUAAAUUCUUUUUAGACACAUUGCCUUGGCUAUGGUGUCUUAUCACAGAAAUAUAAAUGAAAUUCAUUAAAUAUCUAAUAACUAAUAUAUGAUCUCUAGGCACAGACAAGCAAGUCAUAGAGGAAGAAACUAGAUUGGGUAACAUAAAUCUCCCAGGGAGGGGAACAUCUGAUAGAAAUUAUAUAUGAUCUUUAAAUUAUCUCCCCCAAGCUCAAACACCCAGGUGGCUAACAGCACAAAAGAAAACUAUACUAUCUGACCAUAAACAUGAUAGUCACUUCCUACACAUCUUAAGAUAGUUCAAGUAACCUCUCUCUCAAACUGAGCUUCAUAUAAGAAAUAGCGUGGACCCUGGUUUGAGUUUCUAUGUAAUAACACUUCUUUGUAGUGUUACAUCAGGGAGUAGAAUUACAUCAGGAAACAUUUUCCAAAACUAUACUGUGUUUAAAUUUGUUGGGAAUAUAGUUAAUGAGAUCAAACUACCUAAAUCUGUUCCAAUUUUGAAAAAUCAAUUUAAAUGUGUUUUCUUCCUUGCCUCUAUGCAGUUUUCUUACCUGCCUCAACACUGGCACAAAUCCCUUCACUCAAAGGAAAGCAGAGUAGCUUAAAAGGAAUCCUUGAAUUGGAGUUAUCAAAGCUAGAAAUCAAGUGAAUGUUGGAACUUGAAUCCAGUUCCCAUGGAAGAACAGUCAAUGUUGCAUGCUACUGAUCUUGAGAGAAAACUGUGUGCCGGAUCCACUGCCACUGAACCGUGAUGGGACCCCGUCUUGCAAGCUACUUGCACCAUAGAUCAGGAGCUGAGGAGAUUUCCCUGGCUUCUGCUGAUACCACGCUAAGUUACUGUAAAUGCCCUCACUUGCUAGACAUUCGAUGGAGAUAGUUUCUCCCAGAGAUGCAGAUAGGGAAGGUGGAGACUGUGUCAUCUGGAUGUCACAUAUGGCAUCUAAGAUUGGAAAAUUAAAAAAAAAAAAAAACGACGCAUGACGAACUCUGUUGCAAGAAGAUUUUCAUAGUGAAAAAGAAACAUUUAUUACAGGAAGCUGAAUAAAUUUUCAGUGCUGUUUUCCUUACCUGUAAUCCACAGCAACAACACCCCAAGAGAUGAGUGGGCACACCCAUGUCUGUGUGUGAUCUGUGUGAGGCUGACUCCAACAGAGGGUGUGACCUGAUUAUGAAGAAGUCCUCAUGUCAGUGCUUUGGAUAUAUGCAAAUCAGCAAAAGUUUAUGGGAAGCUUCUGUUGUUACUAGGAGAUGCAACCUCACAGAAAAUUCCCUGAUCCUCUGGCUCUAUCAGUCUUUCCAUUUCCUUUUCCUCAAUGCUUCCGGGAUUUGGAGUUACUGAUUAUGUCUUCCUAUGGCCUUCAAGUUUCUCAACGUUGAAAACUCUUGAUGAUACUAACACGAACAUUUUAUUCAGCAUCUGCCUGGAUGCCCAAGAGUCUGAGAACCAGCCUUGAUGCCCCGAGACAUUUCCUGUUUUCCCCUUCCUGGAGUGGUCUUCCAGGGCUGCCCUAUGGCUCAACACCUGCCCAGCAUCAGCAUGAGGUAAACACAGAAGAACUUCCCACAACCUGCCUCCCUGAGCCCUGUGGUAGAACAUCAGAUGUGGAACCCACCACAACACAACAAAUGGUAGAAGUCUUGAAGACCUGCAGUUGAGUGUCAGUUUUCUUCAAAGUUUGUGACUAUGCUCCAGUUGUAAUGUGGUUGUGUUUUGUAAUCUCAUUCUUAUUCUCACCUGAAGGGUACACCAGAAAGCACAAAAGUUCAAGAAAAUUUCCAAGCUCAGUUGAACAAUUUAUAUAAAUAAAUACACAUAAAAAUACUUUGUAUUGAAGAGUAGUUCACUUACUAUAAAGUAUGCAGAGAGAACUUUGCAACAAAGACAUGACUCUCUGAGUCUGAGCUCUCUAGUCUUUGUGGGGCAAGA
Molecule: non-coding RNA, 6922 nt
Organism: Rattus norvegicus (Norway rat)
Lineage: Eukaryota; Metazoa; Chordata; Mammalia; Rodentia; Muridae
Source: RefSeq, a predicted model, not a curated record